RNAcentral lists this non-coding RNA (23 nucleotides) under Mus musculus (house mouse). The record is from RNAcentral. Lineage: Eukaryota; Metazoa; Chordata; Mammalia; Rodentia; Muridae.
UUCAUCACCAAGGAAGCCAGGAC